CACGUAGGGCGCAAGCGUUGUUCGGAAUUAUUGGGCGUAAAGAGCUCGUAGGCGGUCUGUUACGUCUGCUGUGAAAACCCAGGGCUUAACCCUGGGCUUGCAGUGGAUACGGGCAGACUAGAGGCAGGUAGGGGAGAAUGGAAUUCCCGGUGUAGCGGUGAAAUGCGCAGAUAUCGGGAGGAACACCGGUGGCGAAGGCGGUUCUCUGGGCCUGACCUGACGCUGAGGAGCGAAAGCGUGGGGAGCGAACAGG
RNAcentral lists this ribosomal RNA (253 nucleotides) under uncultured bacterium. RNAcentral describes it as "partial 16S ribosomal RNA". It matches the Rfam family "Bacterial small subunit ribosomal RNA", at positions 524 to 776 of the family's 1533-position model. The record is from RNAcentral.